This 1555-nucleotide ribosomal RNA is filed under the name Staphylococcus aureus. RNAcentral's name for it is "16S ribosomal RNA". It matches the Rfam family "Bacterial small subunit ribosomal RNA". The record is from RNAcentral. Lineage: Bacteria; Bacillati; Bacillota; Bacilli; Caryophanales; Staphylococcaceae.
UUUAUGGAGAGUUUGAUCCUGGCUCAGGAUGAACGCUGGCGGCGUGCCUAAUACAUGCAAGUCGAGCGAACGGACGAGAAGCUUGCUUCUCUGAUGUUAGCGGCGGACGGGUGAGUAACACGUGGAUAACCUACCUAUAAGACUGGGAUAACUUCGGGAAACCGGAGCUAAUACCGGAUAAUAUUUUGAACCGCAUGGUUCAAAAGUGAAAGACGGUCUUGCUGUCACUUAUAGAUGGAUCCGCGCUGCAUUAGCUAGUUGGUAAGGUAACGGCUUACCAAGACAACGAUGCAUAGCCGACCUGAGAGGGUGAUCGGCCACACUGGAACUGAGACACGGUCCAGACUCCUACGGGAGGCAGCAGUAGGGAAUCUUCCGCAAUGGGCGAAAGCCUGACGGAGCAACGCCGCGUGAGUGAUGAAGGUCUUCGGAUCGUAAAACUCUGUUAUUAGGGAAGAACAUAUGUGUAAGUAACUGUGCACAUCUUGACGGUACCUAAUCAGAAAGCCACGGCUAACUACGUGCCAGCAGCCGCGGUAAUACGUAGGUGGCAAGCGUUAUCCGGAAUUAUUGGGCGUAAAGCGCGCGUAGGCGGUUUUUUUUAAGUCUGAUGUGAAAGCCCACGGCUCAACCGUGGAGGGUCAUUGGAAACUGGAAAACUUGAGUGCAGAAGAGGAAAGUGGAAUUCCAUGUGUAGCGGUGAAAUGCGCAGAGAUAUGGAGGAACACCAGUGGCGAAGGCGACUUUCUGGUCUGUAACUGACGCUGAUGUGCGAAAGCGUGGGGAUCAAACAGGAUUAGAUACCCUGGUAGUCCACGCCGUAAACGAUGAGUGCUAAGUGUUAGGGGGUUUCCGCCCCUUAGUGCUGCAGCUAACGCAUUAAGCACUCCGCCUGGGGAGUACGACCGCAAGGUUGAAACUCAAAGGAAUUGACGGGGACCCGCACAAGCGGUGGAGCAUGUGGUUUAAUUCGAAGCAACGCGAAGAACCUUACCAAAUCUUGACAUCCUUUGACAACUCUAGAGAUAGAGCUUUCCCCUUCGGGGGACAAAGUGACAGGUGGUGCAUGGUUGUCGUCAGCUCGUGUCGUGAGAUGUUGGGUUAAGUCCCGCAACGAGCGCAACCCUUAAGCUUAGUUGCCAUCAUUAAGUUGGGCACUCUAAGUUGACUGCCGGUGACAAACCGGAGGAAGGUGGGGAUGACGUCAAAUCAUCAUGCCCCUUAUGAUUUGGGCUACACACGUGCUACAAUGGACAAUACAAAGGGCAGCGAAACCGCGAGGUCAAGCAAAUCCCAUAAAGUUGUUCUCAGUUCGGAUUGUAGUCUGCAACUCGACUACAUGAAGCUGGAAUCGCUAGUAAUCGUAGAUCAGCAUGCUACGGUGAAUACGUUCCCGGGUCUUGUACACACCGCCCGUCACACCACGAGAGUUUGUAACACCCGAAGCCGGUGGAGUAACCUUUUUAGGAGCUAGCCGUCGAAGGUGGGACAAAUGAUUGGGGUGAAGUCGUAACAAGGUAGCCGUAUCGGAAGGUGCGGCUGGAUCACCUCCUUU